RNAcentral lists this ribosomal RNA (637 nucleotides) under uncultured bacterium. RNAcentral describes it as "bacterial SSU rRNA". It matches the Rfam family "Bacterial small subunit ribosomal RNA", at positions 607 to 1244 of the family's 1533-position model. The record is from RNAcentral.
GCUCAACUGAGGAAUUGCUUUGGAAACUGGAUGACUUGAGUGCAGUAGAGGAAAGUGGAACUCCAUGUGUAGCGGUGAAAUGCGUAGAUAUAUGGAAGAACACCAGUGGCGAAGGCGGCUUUCUGGACUGUAACUGACGUUGAGGCUCGAAAGUGUGGGUAGCAAACAGGAUUAGAUACCCUGGUAGUCCACACCGUAAACGAUGAGUGCUAGGUGUUUGAGGGUUUCCGCCCUUAAGUGCCGCAGCUAACGCAUUAAGCACUCCGCCUGGGGAGUACGACCGCAAGGUUGAAACUCAAAGAAAUUGACGGGGACCCGCACAAGCGGUGGAGCAUGUGGUUUAAUUCGAAGCAACGCGAAGAACCUUACCAGGUCUUGACAUCCCUUGACAACUCCAGAGAUGGAGCGUUCCCUUCGGGGACAAGGUGACAGGUGGUGCAUGGUUGUCGUCAGCUCGUGUCGUGAGAUGUUGGGUUAAGUCCCGCAACGAGCGCAACCCUUAUUACUAGUUGCCAGCAUUCAGUUGGGCACUCUAGUGAGACUGCCGGUGACAAACCGGAGGAAGGUGGGGAUGACGUCAAAUCAUCAUGCCCCUUAUGACCUGGGCUACACACGUGCUACAAUGGCGUAUACAACG